CCCGAACGGCUCAGUGCCACGCAAAGGGCAGAAGUUUUAUGGGAAAGUAUUUCUGCCUUAGCUAACAGUCUUCAUUAAGCGCUAACCGAGACGCUAAUUCCAGCAUCAGGAAGAAGACGUGACGCAACAACCACUGGUAGAAUUUAUAAGCAAGUUGACUGCACUGUACUGCAAGGUUAACAAGGAAAUGUGAAGAACUGUUCUUUUGACAGAGGAAGAAAAUACAUCACAUUGCUCAAAAUACUUAUCUCCCAGACAGUAGUUAUCACUCCUUACGCUCUGGCAAACAUCCUCGGGAAGAUUCUUAAGCCCAGGCUACAGAG
This 323-nucleotide long non-coding RNA is filed under the name Chloebia gouldiae (Gouldian finch). RNAcentral describes it as "Erythrura gouldiae (Gouldian finch) lncRNA (ENSEGOG00005003464.1)". Lineage: Eukaryota; Metazoa; Chordata; Aves; Passeriformes; Passeridae. The record is from RNAcentral.